Molecule: small nuclear RNA, 159 nt
Organism: Heterocephalus glaber (naked mole-rat)
Lineage: Eukaryota; Metazoa; Chordata; Mammalia; Rodentia; Bathyergidae
Gene: U2
Rfam family: U2 spliceosomal RNA
About the family: U2 is a small nuclear RNA (snRNA) component of the spliceosome (involved in pre-mRNA splicing).
Source: Ensembl
AUCACUUCUCAGCCUUUUGGCUCAGAUCAAGUGUAGUAUAUCCCAGUGGAACCCAAAAUGGUGUAGCUUAAAUAUUUACCACAUGAACUAGAGAGUGUUGAUAUUGCUUAUAUUCUCUCUUUUGGUUUUGGGAUAUCUUCCAGAAUGAGCAGUAUAUAU